GACAGAGGUGCCGAGCGUUAGGCGGAAUCACUGGGCUUAAAGCGUGUGUAGGCGGACGGGUAAGUACCUUGUGAAAUCCCACGGCUCAACCGUGGAACUGCUGGGUAUACUGCCUGUCUUGAGUCAUCUAGGGGCGAGCGGAACAAAUGGUGGAGCGGUGAAAUGCGUAGAUAUCAUUUGGAACGCCAAUGGUGAAAACAGCUCGCUGGGGAUGUACUGACGCUGAGACACGAAAGCCAGGGGAGCAAACGGGAUUAGAUACCCCGGUAGUCCUGGCCCUAAACGAUGUCGACUAGAUCGUGGUGCCUCUGACGGUAUCACGGUCGAAGCAAAAGUGCUAAGUCGACCGCCUGGGAAGUACGGUCGCAAGGCUAAA
RNAcentral lists this ribosomal RNA (376 nucleotides) under uncultured bacterium. RNAcentral's name for it is "bacterial SSU rRNA". It matches the Rfam family "Bacterial small subunit ribosomal RNA", at positions 524 to 898 of the family's 1533-position model. The record is from RNAcentral.